RNAcentral lists this ribosomal RNA (397 nucleotides) under uncultured bacterium. RNAcentral describes it as "partial 16S ribosomal RNA". It matches the Rfam family "Bacterial small subunit ribosomal RNA", at positions 523 to 918 of the family's 1533-position model. The record is from RNAcentral.
AUACGUAGGGGGCGAGCGUUGUCCGGAAUGAUUGGGCGUAAAGGGCGCGUAGGCGGCGCGGUAAGUCUGGAGUGAAAGUCCUGCUUUUAAGGUGGGAAUUGCUUUGGAUACUGCCGCGCUUGAGUGCAGGAGAGGUUAUCGGAAUUCCCGGUGUAGCGGUGAAAUGCGUAGAGAUCGGGAGGAACACCAGUGGCGAAGGCGGGUAACUGGACUGCAACUGACGCUGAGGCGCGAAAGUGUGGGGAGCAAACAGGAUUAGAUACCCUGGUAGUCCACACUGUAAACGAUGAAUGCUAGGUGUAAGAGGUAUCGACCCCUUUUGUGCCGGAGUCAACACAAUAAGCAUUCCGCCUGGGGAGUACGGCCGCAAGGUUGAAACUUAAAGGAAUUGACGGGG